UACUCCCUACGGGGCGCAGCAGUAGGGAAUCUUCCACAAUGGACGAAAGCCUGAUGGAGCAACGCCGCGUGGGUGAAGAAGGUCUUCGGAUCGUAAAACCCUGUUGUUAGAGAAGAAAGUGCGUGAGAGUAACUGUUCACGUUUCGACGGUAUCUAACCAGAAAGCCACGGCUAACUACGUGCCAGCAGCCGCGGUAAUACGUAGGUGGCAAGCGUUAUCCGGAUUUAUUGGGCGUAAAGGGAACGCAGGCGGUUUUUUCAGUCUGAUGUGAAAGCCUUCGGCCUAACCGGAGUAGGGCCUUGGG
Molecule: ribosomal RNA, 305 nt
Filed under: uncultured bacterium
Lineage: Bacteria
Description: bacterial SSU rRNA
Rfam family: Bacterial small subunit ribosomal RNA
Source: RNAcentral